This 468-nucleotide ribosomal RNA is filed under the name uncultured bacterium. RNAcentral describes it as "partial 16S ribosomal RNA". It matches the Rfam family "Bacterial small subunit ribosomal RNA", at positions 28 to 507 of the family's 1533-position model. The record is from RNAcentral.
GACGAACGCUGGCGGCGUGCUUAACACAUGCAAGUCGAACGGCAAGGCCCUGCUUUUGUGGGGUGCUCGAGUGGCGAACGGGUGAGUAACACGUGAGUAACCUGCCCUUGACUUUGGGAUAACUUCAGGAAACUGGGGCUAAUACCGGAUCGGAGCUCCUGCUGCAUGGUGGGGGUUGGAACGUUUCGGCGGUUGGGGAUGGACUAGCGGCUUAUCAGCUUGCUGGUGGGGUAGUGGCUUACCCAGGCUUUGACGGGUAGCCGGCCCGAGAGGGUGACCGGGCACAUGGAUACUGAGAUACGGCCCAGACUCCAACAGUGGGCAGCAGGGGGGAAUAUUACACAAUGGGCGGAAGCCGGAUACAGCGACGCCGCGGGCGUGAUGACGGCCUGCGGGUUGUAAACCGCUGUCGCCUGUGACGAAGCUUGAGUGACGGUAAUGAGUAAAUAAGCACCGGCUAACUUCGUG